This 1459-nucleotide long non-coding RNA is filed under the name Neodiprion lecontei (redheaded pine sawfly). Its description in RNAcentral is "uncharacterized LOC124295215, transcript variant X1". The record is from RNAcentral. Lineage: Eukaryota; Metazoa; Arthropoda; Insecta; Hymenoptera; Diprionidae.
GUGACGGCAAAAAGGGAAACGGCGGCAGUUUGUAUUAGACGGCCCUGGUAAUUAACGGGACCAAAAGUCGGGCGUGCCUUGAAAUUCUGAUACACCUUCACGUUAACGCGGGAGAUGCUGGCUUUGCUGAAAACGAGGGGUUCUAACGGGCCUUGGGGUGUGCUUAAGUUGGGAUUUCAUUGGGAUGGCUAGGAGAAUUUUCGGUUCGCGGAUGAUGGUGCAGAUUAAUUUCUCGUCAUAGUUAUAGGAAUUAUGAUGAAAGUUGGGGACGCGUUCGCGGGACGUAACAUGAACGGAAGAUUGAUCAUCAUUCGUUUGACUGUUGGUCCUUCGUUUUUACCCCUGGACUUUUAAGUGGUUCGAGUAUACGAGAACCAUACCUACGGAUGUCGAAAUGCGCAGACUCUAAGUGGAUGUAACAAACGAUCGUGGUCCCUAUCUUUUCCUUUUCCUCUUCCUCUUCCUCUUCCUCAUCCUCUUCCGCCUAGUCUUCUCUCUAUAAAAUUCUAUUAUUUACCCAUUCUAAAUGCACCGCAGAAUCUGAUUCGAUUCGAAUUCCUUGUACGACAAGGCAUCGCCUCUAGAUCGCGUCUGCCUUCGACGUUUCAACUGUGAAAGGACAGCACCCUUUCUAGUUCCUCUCCUUUCCUACCACGAGAAUUGGCGAGGUAAACGAAUUCCGGUAUCGAUCUCGCCGAGGCUGUACGGUUAAGAGGGUUACGCAACAUACGUGGUGGUGCUGGGAUUAAGGCGGCACCUUAUACAUAUACGCCCGCUUGAACGAGCCUGCAAACGUGAACGAUACAGCCUAGGAACCCUUACUGCCAGGUUGGAAAGCAUUAUUUCUCCGGGGUGAGUUUACAAACACAGACUCUGCGUUUCUGGUAAAAGGACUCGUUGUUCGGUAACCCGCCAGUCUAAACCCAACGUGCCGGAGCAACGGAAGCCGGAAGUUGGUUUCCUUGGAGAAUUGCUGUUUACGUUGACCCAGAAGGUAUACGCAAAUAUGAGUCUUUUACUCUCGGAUAACACAACGGCCCUCAUUCACGUUCCCCAAUACAGGACUCCGGCCGGACUAGCUUUGUCCUUGGGUCUUGAAUUCAGCGGCCUCGUAAGAGCGCGCAGUCUGUCUUUACAAGUUUAUGGUGGCAACGCAUGCUUCCUAAUGGUAUUUAUCGGACGUAUACGUCAGACUUCCACACAUAUAGCAAAUUCCCGUUUUUAUGGGCUACAUGAGGUGUAAUGAUAACAUCAGCGAGAAAGUCAGAGAUUAAUCAGUGUAGUUCUCGACCUUGAACAUUAGGUCAUUUGUGGGAUUUAUUCUAGAAAUCAAAUAUUGAACACAUCAUAAAUUUGUAGAUGAACAAUAUGUACAUAUUUAUUCAUACUUCGUUAAGUUACAUUAUGUAUUAUUAAACUAAGACAUUUUUUUAAAGACUACGAAUAAAUGGUGAAAUGU